GCAAGUCGAGGGGUAACAGGGGAGCUUGCUUCCGCUGACGACCGGCGCACGGGUGCGUAACGCGUAUGCAACCUACCUUAUACAGGGGGAUAGCCCGAAGAAAUUCGGAUUAAUACCCCAUGGUAUUACAGAAUCGCAUGAUGAAGUAAUUAAAGAUUUAUCGGUAUAAGAUGGGCAUGCGUCUGAUUAGAUAGUUGGUGAGGUAACGGCUCACCAAGUCGAUGAUCAGUAGGGGUUCUGAGAGGAAGAUC
This 251-nucleotide ribosomal RNA is filed under the name uncultured bacterium. Its description in RNAcentral is "partial 16S ribosomal RNA". It matches the Rfam family "Bacterial small subunit ribosomal RNA", at positions 57 to 305 of the family's 1533-position model. The record is from RNAcentral.